This 308-nucleotide ribosomal RNA is filed under the name uncultured archaeon. RNAcentral describes it as "bacterial SSU rRNA". It matches the Rfam family "Archaeal small subunit ribosomal RNA", at positions 526 to 834 of the family's 1478-position model. The record is from RNAcentral.
CGGUUCGGUAAAUCUCUGGGUAAAUCGUUGGGCUUAACUCAACGAAUUCUGGGGAGACUGCCGAACUUGGGACCGGGAGAGGUCGGAGGUACUCCAGGGGUAGGGGUGAAAUCCUGUAAUCCUUGGGGGACCACCGGUGGCGAAAGCGUCCGACCAGAACGGGUCCGACGGUAAGGGACGAAGCCCUGGGGCGCGAACCGGAUUAGAUACCCGGGUAGUCCAGGGUGUAAACGCUGUGCGCUUGGUGUUGGGGGUCCCACGAGGGCAUCCAGUGCCGGAGAGAAGUUGUUAAGCGCACCGCCUGGGGA